This 819-nucleotide long non-coding RNA is filed under the name Mustela putorius furo (domestic ferret). RNAcentral describes it as "lncRNA (ENSMPUG00000030830.1)". The record is from RNAcentral. Lineage: Eukaryota; Metazoa; Chordata; Mammalia; Carnivora; Mustelidae.
GUUUCUGCCAGGGAGACAGGGGAUCUUGGAGAACACAGGACUGGGACAGGUCCAGUCUGCAGGACUGGGAUUCGAGGUGGGUGACUGUGAGGUUCACACCCUAGCUAAGAACUCACGGGGGAAUUAAGGCUCGACAGAGCGCCUCGGGGCCUGAUGCAUCCUCCCCUUCUUCUUUUCUGAGGGCCUUAUCUUGUGCCAAGAACUGUAAGCAAGCCUCUGCUCUGGCUGGCUUGUGGUCAAAAGGAGCUUGAGAGGCUGGUGCUUUCUUCCUGGUCAGAGCCAGGGGGUGGACUGGCCCCCCGCAGCCUGCAGGACCCACUGCGAAGUGGUACAGCGCCCUGGGUGCAAAGUUAGUAGGAAAUCAAGAUGGUGGCGGCAGAGCAUGAAGUCAAGGGCAGGGCCCUUCUGAGCAGGGCGCCCUAUGCCAGCAGUGCACGUUGAAAGCCUGGGAUGCCAGCCGGGACAGAGGGCAGCUUGGGGCCUGGGCUCUGUUUGCCUGCUCAAGUGCACAUGUGUGUGUGUGGGGGUGCGCACAAGAGGGAGAGAGAGAGAACACUUCUGGGCAAAUCUUUCCGCCUGGAUUUCUGUUUCCUCAGCUGUUAUCGAGGACAUUGAACUGGUGAUCUUUGGCUUGCCUCUCCUAUGGGUCUGCAUUUCCUCUUCUCCAGGACGAGAGGAGGAUUUUCCAGGCUUCUCUCUACUGCACACAGUUCUGAACUCCACCGCGAGGAGCAGAGCAGAAACCAAAACACAGAAGAAGAAGGAAGAUUUCCCAACUCAUUUUAUGAAUCCAGCAUUACCCGCAUGCCACAGUCAAAG